Molecule: ribosomal RNA, 305 nt
Filed under: Triticum aestivum (bread wheat)
Lineage: Eukaryota; Viridiplantae; Streptophyta; Magnoliopsida; Poales; Poaceae
Description: partial small subunit ribosomal RNA
Source: RNAcentral
AAUUCCAGUUAUUUAAUAAUUUUGAUUCUUCUUUGAAUGUACUUUUAUGUGUCGAAUUACUCGGUACAAUAUUCUUAGAAUAAAAAACCCCUCUUAUAUAUACAAGAAAAAAAGUUUUGUUUGGUAUACUGUGUGCUAAGUAUUCUUUUCCUAUCAAUGAACUUUUCAUAAUUUUCAUAAUAAAAUAUGAGGAUUCUAUUAUGAAAAUUAUGAAAAGUGGAGUAUUCUUACAAUAGGACUUACAACUUCUACCUAUCUUCUCCAAAAUCUUAAGGUUAGUAAAUCUUAUUAAUAAAAUCAUAAAG